Long non-coding RNA from Mastomys coucha (southern multimammate mouse), 1721 nucleotides. RefSeq lists it as uncharacterized. NCBI's taxonomy places the organism in Eukaryota, Metazoa, Chordata, Mammalia, Rodentia, Muridae. The transcript has 12 exons. The record is from RefSeq and is a predicted model, not a curated record.
ACAAUAAUCCAGUGUCCCAUAGGGCCUUGCAUGUGUGAGUUCUAGAACUGUCACAGCAUUCUACUUGCCCACUUAACAAUGAAGCCAACACACACAAAGGCAUCUUAGGAAAUACCAUGAAAGAAAGCUUGAGUCACUGGACCAAGUAAACUCCAAGUCCUUCUUCACUGCUAACCAUUGAGCAUGGGCAGCCAGCUUUGGCAUUAUUUGAUGCUAUAACUCACCAGAUCAGAGAAUAUUCCUCAGGAUAUUUCAGAGCAAAAGCCCAGAGUGCAAGCCCAAUUGAAACAGAAAGAAGGAUAACUGCAAGAUCAGCUUCACACAUGGAAGACUUGGUUUCUGAUCACACAGGAAAUGCAAAGAGAAAGGAGGAAAAAUUGCUCUGAGCUGAACCACAGGCCUAACCAUCUGGACCGAUCUGUGGGCUUGUUAGUCCUCAGAUUUACAACCUGCUGCUAAUGGAAUUGUUGCAACAAUCUGGACAUGGAAGCUGAAGAAAGGGAUCUGGGUCACCCAGUGCCACAGCCACCCAGAAGCUGGGACAGCUCUUCCACUCUCCUGCUCUUAGGACAGCUCACCUACCAUCACAUCACAGCUCUACCAUGAUGCCCAGCUGAGAAUGGAAUGCUCAUUAGCUAAUGAAAGCUUAGCUACUGACUAUCCAAGAAAAGGCAAGGAUCAUGUAACCUGCAAUUCAUGUGAAAACUAUUUCAAGGAUUAGAGCUGUGAUUGCAUGUGAGCUUUGAGGAAUCAUAUCACAGGAGGAACCAAGGAAAGAUCUAGAAGUGGGCAGUAUCGUAUUUGGACCUUGAUGGAUUCUGGCUCACCAGAUGCUCAUGAAGUAACAAAAGAGAAAAUGUAAAAGUGACACUUCAGUUGUCCAAAGUCAUUCCUCUGCUGAGAUUCUCCUUGUCUUAAUAAAAGAUGAUUGUUAGCCUUCAAAUUCCCUGGUUCACUGCUCUGGAGAACUUAUACAAAGGCUGGGAAGAGGCUAAAAUUAAAUGAAGGAAAACACUUUAUAUCUUCCUGUAACUAUUCUAUGAGCUAAGUAGUUCCCAGUUGAAGGAAACGGGCCCGCAGUUUCACUUCAUACAGUGGGUGAUUCACGAACUGGGGAAGUCGAGUUUCUGUGAAGAUAAGCGGGUUAGGAGACAAGGAAGACACCAAGUAGAUGCUUAUCAAGAGCUGUCUCCGGUCCUAAACACCUGAUGGGCCAAGCCGGCCUGCUGCCUCAGGAGUCCAAUUGAGGAAUCCCGUUGAGCUCAGCGGAGAUAGUACACCCAGUGACCUGAUGUUGAGCAUCUUUUCAUGUGUUCCUUGGAUCUCAGAGCCUUGAGGAGAGGGCUUUAAUGAAGACAUCCCAUUUAGGACUGAGUGUGCUCUGAAAACCUGCACUCUCUCCAUAUUGUCCUGUUGUAUGUCUCUGUGUUUAUUUCCAUCUACUGCAAGAAGCUUUUCUGCUGAUGGUUGGCCAAACCAGCAAACAAAAAAAAAGGGAAAGACUCUUAAGAAACUCACAUCAGUGGCAAAAGUUUGUUGUCAUUUCCUUUGGACCUGUCAUUCCCAUUGAGAGGAUAUGAACAUCUCAACAGUACAAGCAUGGUCUGCUUCUUCUUCCACUUAAAGAACCCUGAAUCAAGACAGUUCUCAGCUCAGGAAAGGUGAUUACAUGGAUAUGGAAAGAACAAGAACAUAGCAAAAAAUAAAAUGUUCUUUCGACA